Molecule: ribosomal RNA, 1255 nt
Filed under: Bacillus subtilis
Lineage: Bacteria; Bacillati; Bacillota; Bacilli; Caryophanales; Bacillaceae
Description: bacterial SSU rRNA
Rfam family: Bacterial small subunit ribosomal RNA
Source: RNAcentral
CACGUGGGUAACCUGCCUGUAAGACUGGGAUAACUCCGGGAAACCGGGGCUAAUACCGGAUGGUUGUUUGAACCGCAUGGUUCAAACAUAAAAGGUGGCUUCGGCUACCACUUACAGAUGGACCCGCGGGCAUUAGCUAGUUGGUGAGGUAACGGCUCACCAAGGCAACGAUGCGUAGCCGACCUGAGAGGGUGAUCGGCCACACUGGGACUGAGACACGGCCCAGACUCCUACGGGAGGCAGCAGUAGGGAAUCUUCCGCAAUGGACGAAAGUCUGACGGAGCAACGCCGCGUGAGUGAUGAAGGUUUUCGGAUCGUAAAGCUCUGUUGUUAGGGAAGAACAAGUACCGUUCGAAUAGGGCGGUACCUUGACGGUACCUAACCAGAAAGCCACGGCUAACUACGUGCCAGCAGCCGCGGUAAUACGUAGGUGGCAAGCGUUGUCCGGAAUUAUUGGGCGUAAAGGGCUCGCAGGCGGUUUCUUAAGUCUGAUGUGAAAGCCCCCGGCUCAACCGGGGAGGGUCAUUGGAAACUGGGGAACUUGAGUGCAGAAGAGGAGAGUGGAAUUCCACGUGUAGCGGUGAAAUGCGUAGAGAUGUGGAGGAACACCAGUGGCGAAGGCGACUCUCUGGUCUGUAACUGACGCUGAGGAGCGAAAGCGUGGGGAGCGAACAGGAUUAGAUACCCUGGUAGUCCACGCCGUAAACGAUGAGUGCUAAGUGUUAGGGGGUUUCCGCCCCUUAGUGCUGCAGCUAACGCAUUAAGCACUCCGCCUGGGGAGUACGGUCGCAAGACUGAAACUCAAAGGAAUUGACGGGGGCCCGCACAAGCGGUGGAGCAUGUGGUUUAAUUCGAAGCAACGCGAAGAACCUUACCAGGUCUUGACAUCCUCUGACAAUCCUAGAGAUAGGACGUCCCCUUCGGGGGCAGAGUGACAGGUGGUGCAUGGUUGUCGUCAGCUCGUGUCGUGAGAUGUUGGGUUAAGUCCCGCAACGAGCGCAACCCUUGAUCUUAGUUGCCAGCAUUCAGUUGGGCACUCUAAGGUGACUGCCGGUGACAAACCGGAGGAAGGUGGGGAUGACGUCAAAUCAUCAUGCCCCUUAUGACCUGGGCUACACACGUGCUACAAUGGACAGAACAAAGGGCAGCGAAACCGCGAGGUUAAGCCAAUCCCACAAAUCUGUUCUCAGUUCGGAUCGCAGUCUGCAACUCGACUGCGUGAAGCUGGAAUCGCCUAGUAAUCGCGGAUCAGCAU